Molecule: ribosomal RNA, 2920 nt
Filed under: Klebsiella pneumoniae
Lineage: Bacteria; Pseudomonadati; Pseudomonadota; Gammaproteobacteria; Enterobacterales; Enterobacteriaceae
Description: 23S ribosomal RNA
Rfam family: Bacterial large subunit ribosomal RNA
Source: RNAcentral
GGGUUGUGAGGUUAAGCGACUAAGCGUACACGGUGGAUGCCCUGGCAGUCAGAGGCGAUGAAGGACGUGCUAAUCUGCGAAAAGCGUCGGUAAGGUGAUAUGAACCGUUACAGCCGGCGAUGUCCGAAUGGGGAAACCCAGUGUGAUUCGUCACACUAUCGUUAACUGAAUACAUAGGUUAACGAGGCGAACCGGGGGAACUGAAACAUCUAAGUACCCCGAGGAAAAGAAAUCAACCGAGAUUCCCCCAGUAGCGGCGAGCGAACGGGGAGCAGCCCAGAGUCUGAAUCAGCUUGUGUGUUAGUGGAACGGUCUGGAAAGUCCGACGGUACAGGGUGAUAGUCCCGUACACCAAAAUGCACAGGCUGUGAACUCGAAGAGUAGGGCGGGACACGUGGUAUCCUGUCUGAAUAUGGGGGGACCAUCCUCCAAGGCUAAAUACUCCUGACUGACCGAUAGUGAACCAGUACCGUGAGGGAAAGGCGAAAAGAACCCCGGCGAGGGGAGUGAAAAAGAACCUGAAACCGUGUACGUACAAGCAGUGGGAGCACCUUCGGGUGUGACUGCGUACCUUUUGUAUAAUGGGUCAGCGACUUAUAUUCUGUAGCAAGGUUAACCGUAUAGGGGAGCCGCAGGGAAACCGAGUCUUAACUGGGCGUUAAGUUGCAGGGUAUAGACCCGAAACCCGGUGAUCUAGCCAUGGGCAGGUUGAAGGUUGGGUAACACUAACUGGAGGACCGAACCGACUAAUGUUGAAAAAUUAGCGGAUGACUUGUGGCUGGGGGUGAAAGGCCAAUCAAACCGGGAGAUAGCUGGUUCUCCCCGAAAGCUAUUUAGGUAGCGCCUCGUGAAUUCAUCUUCGGGGUAGAGCACUGUUUCGGCUAGGGGGUCAUCCCGACUUACCAACCCGAUGCAAACUACGAAUACCGAAGAAUGUUAUCACGGGAGACACACGGCGGGUGCUAACGUCCGUCGUGAAGAGGGAAACAACCCAGACCGCCAGCUAAGGUCCCAAAGUCAUGGUUAAGUGGGAAACGAUGUGGGAAGGCACAGACAGCCAGGAUGUUGGCUUAGAAGCAGCCAUCAUUUAAAGAAAGCGUAAUAGCUCACUGGUCGAGUCGGCCUGCGCGGAAGAUGUAACGGGGCUAAACCAUGCACCGAAGCUGCGGCAGCGACACUAUGUGUUGUUGGGUAGGGGAGCGUUCUGUAAGCCUGCGAAGGUGUGCUGUGAGGCAUGCUGGAGGUAUCAGAAGUGCGAAUGCUGACAUAAGUAACGAUAAAGCGGGUGAAAAGCCCGCUCGCCGGAAGACCAAGGGUUCCUGUCCAACGUUAAUCGGGGCAGGGUGAGUCGACCCCUAAGGCGAGGCCGAAAGGCGUAGUCGAUGGGAAACAGGUUAAUAUUCCUGUACUUGGUGUUACUGCGAAGGGGGACGGAGAAGGCUAUGUUAGCCGGGCGACGGUUGUCCCGGUUUAAGCAUGUAGGCUGGUUAUCCAGGCAAAUCCGGAUAAUCAAGGCUGAGGUGUGAUGACGAGGCACUACGGUGCUGAAGUAACAAAUGCCCUGCUUCCAGGAAAAGCCUCUAAGCAUCAGGUAACAUCAAAUCGUACCCCAAACCGACACAGGUGGUCAGGUAGAGAAUACCAAGGCGCUUGAGAGAACUCGGGUGAAGGAACUAGGCAAAAUGGUGCCGUAACUUCGGGAGAAGGCACGCUGGUGUGUAGGUGAAGCCCCUGCGGGUGGAGCUGAGACCAGUCGAAGAUACCAGCUGGCUGCAACUGUUUAUUAAAAACACAGCACUGUGCAAACACGAAAGUGGACGUAUACGGUGUGACGCCUGCCCGGUGCCGGAAGGUUAAUUGAUGGGGUUAUCCGUAAGGAGAAGCUCUUGAUCGAAGCCCCGGUAAACGGCGGCCGUAACUAUAACGGUCCUAAGGUAGCGAAAUUCCUUGUCGGGUAAGUUCCGACCUGCACGAAUGGCGUAAUGAUGGCCAGGCUGUCUCCACCCGAGACUCAGUGAAAUUGAACUCGCUGUGAAGAUGCAGUGUACCCGCGGCAAGACGGAAAGACCCCGUGAACCUUUACUAUAGCUUGACACUGAACAUUGAGCCUUGAUGUGUAGGAUAGGUGGGAGGCUUUGAAGCGUGGACGCCAGUCUGCGUGGAGCCAACCUUGAAAUACCACCCUUUAAUGUUUGAUGUUCUAACGUUGGCCCCUUACCGGGGUUGCGGACAGUGUCUGGUGGGUAGUUUGACUGGGGCGGUCUCCUCCCAAAGCGUAACGGAGGAGCACGAAGGUUAGCUAAUCCUGGUCGGACAUCAGGAGGUUAGUGCAAUGGCAUAAGCUAGCUUGACUGCGAGCGUGACGGCGCGAGCAGGUGCGAAAGCAGGUCAUAGUGAUCCGGUGGUUCUGAAUGGAAGGGCCAUCGCUCAACGGAUAAAAGGUACUCCGGGGAUAACAGGCUGAUACCGCCCAAGAGUUCAUAUCGACGGCGGUGUUUGGCACCUCGAUGUCGGCUCAUCACAUCCUGGGGCUGAAGUAGGUCCCAAGGGUAUGGCUGUUCGCCAUUUAAAGUGGUACGCGAGCUGGGUUUAGAACGUCGUGAGACAGUUCGGUCCCUAUCUGCCGUGGGCGCUGGAGAAUUGAGGGGGCUGCUCCUAGUACGAGAGGACCGGAGUGGACGCAUCACUGGUGUUCGGGUUGUCAUGCCAAUGGCACUGCCCGGUAGCUAAAUGCGGAAGAGAUAAGUGCUGAAAGCAUCUAAGCACGAAACUUGCCCCGAGAUGAGUUCUCCCUGAGACUUUAAGUCUCCUGAAGGAACGUUAAAGACGAUGACGUUGAUAGGCCGGGUGUGUAAGCGCAGCGAUGCGUUGAGCUAACCGGUACUAAUGAACCGUGAGGCUUAACCUUACAACGCCGAAG